UACGUAGGGUGCGAGCGUUAAUCGGAGUUACUGGGCGUAAAGGGCGCGUAGGCGGUCGUGACAAGUCACUUGUGAAAUCUCCGGGCUUAACUCGGAACGGUCAAGUGAUACUGUCGGACUAGAGUACAGAAGGGGCAACUGGAAUUCUCGGUGUAGCGGUGAAAUGCGCAGAUAUCAGGAAGAACACCCGUGGCGAAGGCGGCUCUCUGGGACGGUACUGACGCUGAGACGCGAAAGCGUGGGGAGCGAACAGG
RNAcentral lists this ribosomal RNA (254 nucleotides) under uncultured bacterium. RNAcentral describes it as "partial 16S ribosomal RNA". It matches the Rfam family "Bacterial small subunit ribosomal RNA", at positions 524 to 776 of the family's 1533-position model. The record is from RNAcentral.